This is a long non-coding RNA of Lepidothrix coronata (blue-crowned manakin), 644 nucleotides long. RefSeq lists it as uncharacterized. Lineage: Eukaryota; Metazoa; Chordata; Aves; Passeriformes; Pipridae. The record is from RefSeq and is a predicted model, not a curated record. The transcript is spliced from 3 exons.
UGUGCCCUUUGCUGUUUGAAUAAGGAGAGGCUUCUCGGAGAACAGAGUUGGAUUCUGUGAAUCAAAACUAAGAAGGUUCUUUCUUGGCUUCUGUUUUGGCAGUGGGUCUGAGGGUUGAGCUUUCCUUCAGAAGGCCAGGCUAGCCCAGAGUUCUUCUGGAGGUGCCACUCGCUGCUCCUUGCACUUGGUGUGAUUUCUUAGAAACAGGCCCUGUGAACAAGCUCAGACCAAAGGAUGUGCUUGUUUUGGACGCUCUUCAGCCAAGGCUGUGGAGGGGAACUUUGUGAAAGCCUUCCUGCCAAAGAUGACUCUGUGUGUGCUUGUGAAUGUUUCAGAGCUACUGAGAGACUUGCAGAGGCCAACACCAAGCUCUUUUUGGAGCGCCUCAGAAGCAAAUCUGCAGUCCCAAGCAGCACCGUCAGCGGACAUCUGGCUGCAAGUCCACUUCUGGAUUCACCUGGCCUGGGACAUCUUGGCAUCAGUUUGGGACUGAGCAGAAGCCUGGGUCUCAGAACACCACCCAGACACCUGUGGUAAAGCCCAAGACUUCUGCUCAUCAGGCACGACAGGAACAGGAUGCAAAAAUGCCUAGAGACCUUCAACGAGCCUUCCAGUUGAGACUGGAAUGUGAAAACUUGCUGCUU